UAUAUUAAUUAUUUGUGUUUAUUAUCUAAGUUUACAGUGAUGGAAAAUAUUAUUAUAAAUUUAUUGGUUUUUCUUACCUUUUGUAUAAUGGUUGAACAAGAAUUUAUCUAUUUAGAAAUUCCCGAAUUAAGAAGGGCUAUUUAAGAGCUUUUAUUAGAAUAAAACUUUAUGUUGCAAUAUGGAUUUUAGACUUUUAAAUAGGGGUGAAAUGCUUUCAAUUCUUAAGUUAUCUGGAAGUCCAAUAAAAGCAUCUAGUGCUUAAAAGCUAUAAAUAAAAUGUUUAGAUUUUAUUUUGUAAGGGUUUUAAUUAUCAUAAAUUAAUCUAGGUUUAACCUCUAAGAUUACUAUAUAAAUUAUAGAUUUAUUUUUAAGAUACCUUAAAAUUACACUGGACCUUUUAUCUCAAUUAAAUCGUAAAUUGAUAAUGUUUAAAUUAGUAAUAAUAGGAUUAAAGGAAAAUAUAUUGGUUGAUUUAAUUAUGGUUUUAUUUAAAAAUUAAAUGAAAGGAAUUCGGCAAAUAUAAACCUGGACUGUUUAACAAAAACAUAGCCAUCAGAUUAUAUUGUUGGUUCAACCUGCCCAAUGUAAAAUUAAUGGCCGCGGUACUUUGACCGUGCUAAGGUAGCGUAAUCAGUUGGCUUUUAAAUGGAGUCAGGAAUGAAUGGGAUAACCUGGUUUAGCUGUCUUUUAUUUAAUAUAUUGAAUUUACUGUUCAAGUGAAAAAGCUUGAUUUAUUUAAAGGGACGAGAAGACCCUUAGAAUUUUUUUUAAGAGAAUUAAUUUUUUUUGUAAUUUUGUUGGGGCGACAAAGAAGAACUUAAAACCUUCUUUAUAUUACAAGCCGGUUAUAUUAUGAAAGAAUAAAUUACCUGAGGGAUAACAGCAUAAUUCUAUAGUUGAGUUUGUGACCUCGAUGUUGGACUAGGAAACUAGCAGGCUAGCCGUUUGCUAUGUUGGUUCUGUUCGAACUUUUAUUCCUACAUGAUCUGAGUUCAGACCGGCGUAAGCCAGGUCAGAUUCUAUCUUUUUACAUUACAUCUCUAGUACGAAAGGACCGAGCUGUUUAAUUUUAUAAUUA
This 1078-nucleotide ribosomal RNA is filed under the name Protaeolidiella atra. RNAcentral's name for it is "16S ribosomal RNA". The stretch from base 430 to 1078 matches the Rfam family "Archaeal large subunit ribosomal RNA", at positions 1423 to 2785 of the family's 2987-position model. The record is from RNAcentral. Lineage: Eukaryota; Metazoa; Mollusca; Gastropoda; Nudibranchia; Aeolidiidae.